This 183-nucleotide non-coding RNA is filed under the name Flavimaricola marinus. Its description in RNAcentral is "Loktanella marina Ruegeria cis52 sRNA". It matches the Rfam family "Ruegeria cis52 sRNA". From Rfam's summary of the family: Cis-encoded. The record is from Rfam by way of RNAcentral. Lineage: Bacteria; Pseudomonadati; Pseudomonadota; Alphaproteobacteria; Rhodobacterales; Paracoccaceae.
UUCCGAAGCGCGUGCUUCAUGACGAUGUUCGGGAACGACACCCCCUUGAGCCGGGCGGUUCGGAUAUAUUGCGCCGUCAUGACUUCGGUCAUCGAUGCCCGCGUCAUCCGGGCGAUAUAGCCCAUCCCGUAGAGCGCGAUCGUCAGGACCGGCAGGGUAAAGUUGGCGAAGGUGAUGUCGUCC